CAGCAGCCGCGGUAAUACGUAGGGUGCGAGCGUUAAUCGGAUUUACUGGGCGUAAAGCGUGCGCAGGCGGCCCGUUAAGACAGGUGUGAAAUCCCUGGGCUCAACCUAGGAAUUGCGCUUGUGACUGGCGGGCUCGAGUACGGUAGAGGGGGGUGGAAUUCCUGGUGUAGCAGUGAAAUGCGUAGAGAUCAGGAGGAACACCGAUGGCGAAGGCAGCCCCCUGGGCCGGUACUGACGCUCAUGCACGAAAGCGUGGGGAGCAAACAGGAUUAGAUACCCUGGUAGUCCACGCCCUAAACGAUGGGUACUAGCCGUUUGGUGCGCGAUAGCGCUGAGUGGCGAAGCUAACGCGUGAAGUCCCCCGCCUGGGGAGUACGGCCGCAAGGUUGAAACUUAAAGGAAUUGGCGGG
RNAcentral lists this ribosomal RNA (410 nucleotides) under uncultured microorganism. Its description in RNAcentral is "bacterial SSU rRNA". It matches the Rfam family "Bacterial small subunit ribosomal RNA", at positions 509 to 917 of the family's 1533-position model. The record is from RNAcentral.